CAACCUAUUGUGCCAUAAUUGCACAAGCUGUUUGUAAAUAUUUUCAGUGAGAAACCUAAAGUUUGUAAAAAAAAAAGUUUGUGAAAAAGUGAAUGAUUUUUUUUUUUAUUUGAUCGCAUUUGGCGGUGAAAUGGUGGCAUGAAAUAUACCAAAAUGGGUCAAGAUCAAUAAAAAAAAAUGUAAAAAUAGCCCUGGUCCUUAAGGGAAAGAAAUUGAAAAAUGGCCUUGUCCUUAAGGGGUUAAGUAACAACACACAGACAUUUUUCAAGCAGAGACCCCUGUCCUAGAUAAAGUCCUCAUUCACAAAAAACAAAAGAACAGGAACAUUCAAUUUUCUCAUUUAGUCCUCUAGGACAGAGUUGUUCAGUGCAAUGACACCACAUACCUUCACGACCCUAUUUUGAUACUUUAUUCCUGAUUGUAAUCACACUUGAAAGUUUUGUAAAAGGUAACACACACACACAAUCUUGUACACCACACACACUCUUAUAUAACACACAUCACACAUUCUCCUACAAUACACAGCACACACACACAACACGCACACACUCUCCUACAACACACACAAUCUUGUACACCACACCCACUCUUAUAUAACACACAUCACACAUUCUCCUACAAUACACAGCACACACACAACACGCACACACUCUCCUACAACACACACACACAAUUCGCGACCCAGUAAAUAAGGUGUUGGUUUGAAAAACCCUGCUCUAGAACUUAGAUCUAAAGAUUAAUUUGAAUACUUAGCCCAAAUAGGUUGUCCUUUCUAAUAUAAACGUACACAUUUGUAUCUACUGUCGUCACCUGUCUCAUACAUUUUACAGAAUAGAUUUGCUGUUAUAUUGUAUGUUCUUUUAUACUAGAUGUGAAGUUUUAAAAAAAGAUUUCAAAUUUUCAUUCAUUUUACAGGUACUUAUACCAAUGAUCCGGUGUAAUUCUCAUAAAGAAAGAAUCCGGGGUGAAUUGAAAGCCAGGAUUCCUGGCAUUUACAGCCUAAUAUUUGACAACACUUUUUCCAGGUUCAUAUCCAAGAGAGUGUUUUAUCACUUGACUGUUGAACAACCGGUGGUCUAUGACGGAAGUGACUUUUCUUAAUGGAAUUAAAGAAAUCUUAAUGGCUUCUUUCAGAUUGUUCCAAACAGUUACUGCUGCAGAUCAACACUACAAGUCUAGCAGUAGACACUAAAAUUAAGCAGUAUUUGUAUUUAGAAAAAAUAUACAAGCACAUUAUUAUGACAAUGCCAUACCAAAUAUAUCUAUUUAUAUCUGUACACUGGUAUAACUUUUGUCAGCAAUAUAUUUAUAAGACUGGUUUUGUAAUUUGUAUUUUUAAAAAUAGUGCAAGAAUAUGCAAUCAACUGUGUUAUUUGGGUUCUGAUGCAUAUAUAUUUUUUUUUAGUUUGCAUUAAAGGGGCAUUACAUUUAUUUCACAUACGUGCAUAAUAUACACACACACACACACGUAUUAUAUAUACUGUAUAUAAAUAUAUAUAUAUAUAUAUAUAUAUAUACACACACAAACUUUUAAGUUCUCCAUACAAAAUACAUUUUCAGCAAUUUAAAACUUUCUUGUUUGUUUUGCAGUCCUAUGAUUAUAAUAUACUGUAUAAUAAUUUCCCUGAAUAUUUCAUUUUGCAUUGAUUCACUGAUUUAAAAUAAUAUUGCCAAAUUUUGUGGGUCCUUGCAAGGUUACCCAAGGGUCACAAACAGAGUAAAAACAGAAAUAUUGAUGUUUCCUCACUAGAUUUUAGGAGAUCACAUCAGCCAUGAUUCAGAUGCAAUAAAACAGGGUUCUCUUAAAAAAAGGGCUAAUUUUUUAUGAUGAUUCAUUACAGAUACAUUAACCUACAUAGACAUUAUUAACAUCCUUUAAGUCUAUGCAUGAUACUCCUUGGGAUAUAACUGUUACAUUAGCACAUAUCUGCAGACUGGGAUAGCUUUAUACACCUAGGUCUGUUUUGCUAAUAAACUUACUUUAUUAUCUGGUUUUAA
Bombina bombina (fire-bellied toad) is the source of this 1998-nucleotide long non-coding RNA. RefSeq lists it as uncharacterized. The record is from RefSeq and is a predicted model, not a curated record. Lineage: Eukaryota; Metazoa; Chordata; Amphibia; Anura; Bombinatoridae. The transcript is spliced from 2 exons.